This is a non-coding RNA of Pelobates cultripes (western spadefoot toad), 209 nucleotides long. The record is from the annotation of a GenBank genome assembly. NCBI's taxonomy places the organism in Eukaryota, Metazoa, Chordata, Amphibia, Anura, Pelobatidae.
CCCAUUUCUCCCAGUGUCCCAAUGUCUCAGUGUGUCCCCAUGUCACUAGGAUACUGGGGACACUGAGAAACCCAGGGACACUGAGACAUUUAGGGAAACUGGGAGAAAUGGGGACACUGAGACACUAGGGACACAGACAUGGGAACACAGACACUGGGAGACUAGGGGACACUGGCUGGGAGACAGACACUUGGGGACACUGGGAGACA